Molecule: ribosomal RNA, 451 nt
Filed under: Streptococcus mutans
Lineage: Bacteria; Bacillati; Bacillota; Bacilli; Lactobacillales; Streptococcaceae
Description: bacterial SSU rRNA
Rfam family: Bacterial small subunit ribosomal RNA
Source: RNAcentral
GACGAACGCUGGCGGCGUGCCUAAUACAUGCAAGUGGGACGCAAGGGAACACACUGUGCUUGCACACCGUGUUUUCUUGAGUCGCGAACGGGUGAGUAACGCGUAGGUAACCUGCCUAUUAGCGGGGGAUAACUAUUGGAAACGAUAGCUAAUACCGCAUAAUAUUAAUUAUUGCAUGAUAAUUGAUUGAAAGAUGCAAGCGCAUCACUAGUAGAUGGACCUGCGUUGUAUUAGCUAGUUGGUAAGGUAAGAGCUUACCAAGGCGACGAUACAUAGCCGACCUGAGAGGGUGAUCGGCCACACUGGGACUGAGACACGGCCCAGACUCCUACGGGAGGCAGCAGUAGGGAAUCUUCGGCAAUGGACGAAAGUCUGACCGAGCAACGCCGCGUGAGUGAAGAAGGUUUUCGGAUCGUAAAGCUCUGUUGUAAGUCAAAGAAACGUGUGUGAG